AGAUGUUGAGUAUUGAUUACCAAUCAACUACUAGCCUGGGAGAUAAAAGCCAAAGCUGUAAACAGACAGGUCAGGUAAAUAUAUGAAUGAAGAAAUUGAAACUAGAAGUAAACAUCAUGGGAAGUCUAAUUAUAGGGCAAGUAUUUUUCCUUCAUAUCUUAUUUAACAUAGUCAAACCAUGCAAUACUUAUAGGCUUAACUAUUGUUUUCAUAGAAACAAUGUUAUUUUAAAUAUCAUGAGAUAGUGUAUUUAAGAGAUAUUGUAGUUCAAGUUUCCAUAUUUAAUCAGCUUAACAAGUGCACAUUCUCUGCUGCCAACAGUACCAAUUUGUCAUCCAAGCAACAAAUAUUCCUUGGUAAUCUGCUAUCAGAUGACAGUUAUCUCUUUGGCAUUUUUAUGAAUUAAAGCUUUCAAAGCCAAAGUAAGACUUAAUUUUUUCUUUUCUUUAACUGCUAAUUCUAAAAUAAUUUAUCAUUGCAUGUUAAAAAUAACUUGUUAUACAUUUUUCUGUGUUUUUGGUCAAGCUUCAGAUUUGCUUAGCAUAUUCCUGUACUACAUAUCAACAAAUGUUUGAUGGUUUGUCUGGUUCAUCUCUUAACACUAUGAAGAUGGCUACACUAAUCUUAACAAGCAAACAUUCUGUUGCCAACAGUACCAAUUUGUCAUCCUAUCCAAGCAACUACUAUUCCUUGGUAAUCUGCUAUCAGAUGAUUACAGUUUUCUCUUUGGCAUUUGUAUGAAUUAAAGCUUUCAAAGCCAAACCUUAGAUUUGGUUAGCAUAACCCUGAACUGCAUAUCAACAAAUGUCUAAUGGUCUGUCUGGUUCAUUUCUCAAGACUAUGAAGAUGGCUACACAGGUAUCAGCUAUCAGCAGUGCACCCCUAUGAUACACAAGUCUUCAUUGCCAAGUCACUCUGCCAAACAGUGUGUACACCUUUCUUGCAUUGGUAGUGACCCACUUUACUGUCAUGAGUCUGGAUAUGUCAGGCCAAGGAGAUCAAGUUUGUGUCCAAGGUUACUUAGUUAAUUCUCUAAGAACAAUAGACAGACUCUACAUGCUACUGAUCUGGAGGUUAGUGGCUCAAUCAUUGUGCACUGAUUCUUCACUGAUGCCUUGAUUCUCCACUGUCAACUUUAUUGUCAUAAAGUUUAUCUAGUGAUCUACAUAUCAAGACUAAAUGGUCAAUUAAACAUGAGGUCAAGGAAAAAGGAUGAACAUUUCAAGGCUACUGAAGGAACAUUAAACGUCUCUCUCACUGUGAAAAGAUUCUACCGAUCUACAAAUGAUCAACAUGUUUUAUCUUAAGUUCGUCUGCCAUUUCUUCAAAUGGAGCCAUAUUAAGAAUAAGAUUCUUUUUGUUCUUCCUUAGCUUCAAAUGUAUCAGUUGUUUUUGUUGACAGAUAUCAAGUCAUUUCAGUUCUCAAUUAUUUUGUGCACCAAGUUACAAGAAAAAAUUUAAGCAAGAGAGGUCACUACACUAAGACUUUGUCUUCUCAUAAGAAAGGAUGGCUGCCUGGUCAUGUGAUAUGUGCACUGGACUGUGUAUGGUCAUCUUGAUGCUCAUAUCUUGCCUGAUGACAUUUAUUCUGCUGAACAUUUGGUCAAGGAAGUAGAUUCUCUUCAGCUCUCAAGAAACAUUCAAAAUAUGUCAAACAUUUGACAAGAAUAUCAAGUGCAAUGUACAUACCAACAUGAUGAAAAGGUAGACAACAUGAAGAUGUAGACCAACAUGAUGAAAAGGUAGACAACAUGAAGAUGUAGACCAACAUGAAGAGGUAGACCAGCAUGAUGAAGAUGUAGGCCAACAUGAUGAAGAUGUAGACCAACAUGAAGAUGAAAUGUAAACCAAAAAAUGGGUCAAGAGAUGUAUGGAAUACAAUGUGAACAUCUUGAGAAGUAAAACAAUUCCUAGAGGCAAAGACACAGACACACCGGAUCUAUUAGAGAUUUUCCUUUUCUACCAUCAUUUAGAGACUUCCUUGUGCUCUAAGGGAACCUGUCAUUAUCUUUUGAUUGCUAAUUGGCAUUGAUGUUUUUACAUUCCUACUGCGUCUGAAAGAAAUUAACAUUUCCCUAAUGCUACUUCAAAACCAGACCUUCUCAAGACAAUUUUAGUGACCAAGCUGCAAUAUGGGACUCAGUAGGAAACAAUGAAGAAUGCUCCUAACCUCAGGUUGAGUAACCAUGCUCACCUACUAGAGUGGCGACAAAUACUUCUACACCCACAGUUAUACAUCCUGAACCCUGUAACCCAACCUCACAACAUGGUUACAUUACCGGAAGUGGUCGCAAGGUCAGAAAACCUAACAGAUACAAUGGAUAGAACAAUGAACAGGUACAAGUACUCAAGUGAUGUACUUUGUGAGAACUAUUUAGGUGGAAUCACCAUAAUUGACUUGUAUAAAUCUUGUUCUAUAUUUAGGUAUAUCUUGACAAUCAGUCCAGUCAUUUGUUAAUUUUUUUUUAAAAUAUUCCUUUUUUUUCCCUCAAUCUUCUUGUUGUUUCAGUUACAUGUUUUUGUAUUUUGAAGGAGGAAGGUGCUUUGGUAUAUUAUCGUUAUUAUUAUUGUACCAGUAUUAAGCAAACUUGUAUAUCUUUAAUUAUUCAUGAAUUCUAAAGCAGAACGUCACUUCCACCGGAAAAUGUUGUAACAACUAUACGUGUCUUCAGUUAACAUUCAAUACUCUGUACAGUCACAACGCCAAAGCCUUGCUAGAUUAUGCUUUUAAUUCAAUUUGUUAUCUCCCCUGCUUUAGUGUGCUAUCAUAUAAUUUUUUGUGUCACAUCCCUGCACAAUUUGUUCUAUGCUUUUUUACAGUAUAAAUAGCGACUUGACAUUAUUUAGCUCUAUUAUAAUAUUGUUAUAUUAUUAUAUUUAAAAUAAAACUGUUAACAUAUUCUAUGCUGUUAUAAUAUAAAUGUUUUGCUGUUACCAUGAAUACAGUUUUGAGUUUUUGUCUGAUUUCUUAGAGGAGAAAUUUUUCAUAAAUAAUAAUAAUAAGGCUUAUCUUCAAGUCCGAAAAUUAGUGAGAAGUAUGCAGUAUUCCCCAGCUAGGACCUACAUAUUUUGCUAUAAAUAAAGAGUAUAAUAAUAUUUACUACUUGGUAUUGUCAGUCUUCACUAAAGCAAUGAGUUUAUCCCCUUAGUGUGUUUAAAAUUUUCAAAUACUAAUUCACUUUGUAUUAUCUAUUGGUGAUCAUGGGGUAUCCACUUUGUCAUCUCCAUAGUCUCUGGUGUUAACACUCACUGUCCUGUUGGAGGUUACGGCUAGGAUGUUAUCUCUCUUUCUGAUGGAACACAUGUAAAACCAACAAAACAAACAUUAGACCUAGACUUUAUUAACAGGUAAAUUUGUAUAAUUGUGAACUGGCGCUCCCAAAGCUACUUUUAUGUAUUUUAAAUUUUACUUCUGUAGGCUAGUGCUAAGCUGUAUACUUGUAUUUCUGCCUAUUAUAUGGGUUAGGGUGGAGUACUUAAAAUAGAACCUAUGCUGUUUCCUGUACUGUUGACCAGUGGUCUCUGUGUCAGUUUUAAUUAUUCUGUACCUGGGACUGCCUGUAAGUUUCAGAAUUUUUCUUUUAUUUUUAAAAAUUUUACUAUGUGUAAAUCUGUUUUAUAUUUGAACAACUGUCAAAAUAACUAGCAGUUUUUUUUUUCUAAAGUUUGUUUUAAAAAUAUGGCCAAGCCCUGCCCAGUGCUGUCAUGAUGGCCACUUCUAAUGUUUAUGUACUAGAUUGUAACUGCUGCCUUAAUCAUUGAAAUUAAAGUCUCAUUUGAAUUUCUU
Molecule: long non-coding RNA, 3787 nt
Organism: Biomphalaria glabrata
Lineage: Eukaryota; Metazoa; Mollusca; Gastropoda; Planorbidae
Exons: 10
Source: RefSeq, a predicted model, not a curated record